UUAAGGACAAAGAUGUUUUGUACCGAAAGUUUUCUUUUGUAUGUUUUGUUCGAUGACUGUUUCCCAUCUGUUUUCUUAUGGUAUUAUGUAAAAAUAUGUACAUGACAUGAUGUAAUAUGGUAUUAAUAGUAAAUUUUGUAAUUAUAUCUUUCAUGUUAUGUUAAGAGACAUUUUUGUAGUUUAUUUUCCUUACAAGAGACAAAAGGCAGAAACGGGACAGUUUCUGG
This 227-nucleotide long non-coding RNA is filed under the name Olea europaea (common olive). RNAcentral's name for it is "long non-coding RNA (OEUR_LNC013312)". Lineage: Eukaryota; Viridiplantae; Streptophyta; Magnoliopsida; Lamiales; Oleaceae. The record is from RNAcentral.